This is a non-coding RNA of Pelobates cultripes (western spadefoot toad), 274 nucleotides long. Lineage: Eukaryota; Metazoa; Chordata; Amphibia; Anura; Pelobatidae. The record is from the annotation of a GenBank genome assembly.
CACACGUGAGACUCGCCUGCCAAGACAGACGCUUUCCCUAUACUGUCCCUACAGGAAAGCAGUUGUUUGUUUGAACUGAUGUGAUUGAAGGGGUGUAUGUGGAGUAUCAUCUUCGAGGUCUGUGAUGUCUUGGUGUAUGAAAGUAGGGGUCACGCCAUCUAUAGUCUUGUCUACCACUUUCUGUAAGUAGUUCUGUAUGCAGGGGAAUAUGCAACAGGUCAAAAAUAAGAAAAUGACGAUCAUUAUGAGAACAGCUGUCCCCACCUGGAAGAGG